AGCCCUGCUCUGGGAAGGCGCCAUUCUGAGGGCCAGGAGUUUGAUUAUGAGUCACUCUGGCUGCUAUGGCCCCUCCCAGGGCCUGGGG
This 88-nucleotide microRNA precursor is filed under the name Cavia porcellus (domestic guinea pig). RNAcentral describes it as "mir-3085 microRNA precursor family". It matches the Rfam family "mir-3085 microRNA precursor family". The record is from Rfam by way of RNAcentral. Lineage: Eukaryota; Metazoa; Chordata; Mammalia; Rodentia; Caviidae.